UUCCUAUCUUUCUGCCGCAUUGUCCACGUCUCACACCCAUACAAAGCGAUGCUCCAGAUGUAUAUCUUAAUUAGGCGUUUUUUUGUACUCUUAGAGAUCCUAGCCUUAAGCAAAUGUUUUUUGGCGUUGAAAGCUGUUUUCGCCAUUGCUAUCCUUGAUACUAUUUCCUCUGUACAUCUGGAGUCUUGGGAAAUAGUAUCAAGGAUAGCAAUGGCGAAAACAGCUUUCAACGCCAAAAAACAUUUGCUUAAGGCUAGGA
Cydia strobilella is the source of this 259-nucleotide long non-coding RNA. RefSeq lists it as uncharacterized. The record is from RefSeq and is a predicted model, not a curated record. Lineage: Eukaryota; Metazoa; Arthropoda; Insecta; Lepidoptera; Tortricidae. The transcript is spliced from 2 exons.